Molecule: non-coding RNA, 27 nt
Filed under: Homo sapiens (human)
Lineage: Eukaryota; Metazoa; Chordata; Mammalia; Primates; Hominidae
Source: RNAcentral
GACGCUGACAAAUUGAGAACUGUGCCG